AUAGCAAGGAAAAUACAGCCACUAUUUUGUAAGAACUUAAAAUCGAGUAUAAGCUAUGAUCUCUGUUAUAACCCUGAAACUUAUAUAAUAUUGGAAUUCAACUAGUUGUUGUUGUUGUUGAGUCACUAAGUCAUGUCUGACUCUUUGUGAUCUCAUAGACUAUAGCGUGCCAGGCUCUUCAGUCCAUGGAAUUUACCAGGCAAGAAUACUGGAAUGGCUUGCCAUUUCUUUCUGCAGAGGAUCUUCCUGGCCCAGGGAUCAAAUCCACAUCUCUCGCAUUGACAGGCAGAUUAUUUACUGCUGAGACACCAGGAAAGCAAUUCAACUAUACUUCACCUAAAAGCUGUAUAAUGGAAGAUUAUAAAAUGAGAUAAAGUGUGGAGGGCUGACUCAUCAAUUGCUACUUGGAAGGUCAAGAUAUUAAACCUGAG
RNAcentral lists this long non-coding RNA (431 nucleotides) under Ovis aries (sheep). RNAcentral's name for it is "lncRNA (ENSOARG00000025223.1)". The record is from RNAcentral. Lineage: Eukaryota; Metazoa; Chordata; Mammalia; Artiodactyla; Bovidae.